GUACUUAACUCCUUCAGCACACAUACUGAAAUUGGAACGAUAUGGAGAUUAGCACGGCUCUUGCACAAGGAUGACGUGCAAACUUUGAAGUGUUCUAUACAUUA
This is a small nuclear RNA of Mesocricetus auratus (golden hamster), 104 nucleotides long. Lineage: Eukaryota; Metazoa; Chordata; Mammalia; Rodentia; Cricetidae. The record is from Ensembl.